GAAAUGCGAUAAGUAAUGUGAAUUGCAGAAUUCAGUGAAUCAUCGAAUCUUUGAACGCACCUUGCGCUCCUUGGUAUUCCUUGGAGCAUGCCUGUUUGAGUAUCAUGAAAUCUUCAAAGUAAAUCUUUUGUUAACUCAAUUGGUUUCUACUUUGGCAUUGGAGGUCUUUGCAGCUUCACACCUGCUCCUCUUUGUUCAUUAGCUGGAUCUCAGUGUUAUGCUUGGUUCCACUCGGCGUGAUAAGUUAUCUAUCGCUGAGGACACUGUAAAAGGUGGCCAAGGUAAAUGCAGAUGAACCGCUUCUAAUAGUCCAUUGACUUGGACAAUACUUUUAUGAUCUGAUCUCAAAUCAGGUAGGACUACCCGCUGAACUUAAGC
RNAcentral lists this unclassified non-coding RNA (378 nucleotides) under plant metagenome. RNAcentral describes it as "partial contains 5.8S ribosomal RNA, internal transcribed spacer 2, and large subunit ribosomal RNA". The stretch from base 1 to 105 matches the Rfam family "5.8S ribosomal RNA", at positions 50 to 154 of the family's 154-position model. The record is from RNAcentral.